This 205-nucleotide unclassified non-coding RNA is filed under the name uncultured fungus. Its description in RNAcentral is "sequence contains ITS1". The record is from RNAcentral. Lineage: Eukaryota; Fungi.
UUAACUUAUUUGUAUUUUCACUCAGACUUCAAUCUUCAGACAGAGUUCGAGGUGUCUUCGGCGGGCGCGGGCCAGAGGGCAGAAGCCCCCCGGCGGCCGUGAGGCGGGCCCGCCGAAGCAACAAGGUACGAUAAACACGGGUGGGAGGUUGGACCCAGAGGGCCCUCACUCGGUAAUGAUCCUUCCGCAGGUUCACCUACGGAAA